This 9116-nucleotide long non-coding RNA is filed under the name Sorghum bicolor (sorghum). Its description in RNAcentral is "long non-coding RNA (SBIC_LNC013314)". Lineage: Eukaryota; Viridiplantae; Streptophyta; Magnoliopsida; Poales; Poaceae. The record is from RNAcentral.
AAAAGCCAACUCCCAAAUAUGCCAAGGGGAGCCUCUCAAAUGCCAAGUUUACUAAAAUGGCAAACCCGUUUGCAAAACCGUUGGAGGAGUAAUUUUUACUUUUUUGUCAAAUAACACAAAUGCCAAACUAGAAUGGCAAACCGUUGGAGAUGCUCUUAGAAUGCGCAUAUUAUCUCUUAAUUAACCAACACAACCUGUUCGCUUGGCUGAAAAGACAUGUUGUAAGAGAAAAGCACUAUUAAAUGGCUGACAGAUUCGGUAGAUAAGCUCAAGCGAACAUGCAGGAACAGGACGGUGAGUCUGUGCUAGAGAAGUUGUGUCAGUUGUGGUGGUGAUUAGAGAUGGGUUGAUUAGCAACGGAGAAAAGAUAAGGAGUUGCUAUAUUUCAAGUGUGUGAACUUUGAGAUGAUUCCAGACAAUGAUGAUAUACAACUAAUUAGUGCAAUUUAAAACUUUUGCAAAAAAUAGUACAAGACAACUUACAUGUGACAAUUUAUAACUUUUUUAUAGUCAAUGACAAAUUUGCCGAUUAGUUGAACACCAACAAAAAUCAGGCUAGAAUAUAGGAUAAGUGGUGGAGAUAGGUGAAGGCGGGGCUGAGAAUUGGUAAGAUUUUCAUGUCAAACUAGUGGCCAAGAAAGACCAGGAUGUUAAAAAUCACUUAUGGUUAGAUCUCAAUUAAGAGGCAAGUUUCUUUUUACGAGAAUUACUAUACAUUUAUCUGUCAAUAGAUUUUUACUUGAAAAUCUAUCAGAUUUUUAAUUGUUUGGUCGUGCAAUCUAUAGUUUACAUCUCCUUCAUUUGUCAGAAAACUGAAGCAUAGCAUCUUCAUUUGUCAGGGACACUGUAUGUCAUUAUGUGGUGCUCUGUUGGCUGCAUUGCAACUGACAAGGAUCCUUUUCUUCUGAAAGUAGUGAUGCUGAACUCAACUACCAGUGUAGAACAAAAAGGGCUGGGACUAUCAAUAUGGGAUGGAAUGAUUGAACUCUAGCAAAGCAUUCUGAUGACGGUCAGAUUAGCCGUAUAAUAAGUAGAGCACUGUCAGUAAUGAUCAUAUAUAAUAACGAAAUAUAAGGUGGUCAAAUGAGGCUAAAGCGGUGAUGAGAGAGGGCUACUUGUUGGAGAAGGUACGUUGGGGGAGAAUGAUGCACAAGCAUAUGCAGACAUAGCAUGUAAAAGCAUGCUCAAGGGUCGGAUUGGAAGGUUAUUUAACUUGGGAGUUGCUAUUGUAGCCAUGCUGCUUUAGCUCCUGUCCUCCCAAUGUGCUGCCCUCCAGCGGCCACUUCACCGAGACGCCACGUUCUCUGAUACUGAUAUUUUUCUCUUGCAUUGUCCCUUGCUUUACCUCCUCAAUACAAUCUUUUGUUUCUUUUUUAAUCUUGAUGCAUCAUUGUUCUCGACUCAUCAAUUUCCGAGGAGUUGAUUCUGGUUAGAUAUUAGCACUCCGUCGUCCUGAAAUAUGGUUGUCAGUUGUCACAAAGAAUUGAACUUCAGUCACUAGUCAAUUGACAUAUGAUCCAAUAUAAUCCAUAUUCCAGUUUCAAACUUUCAGUCACUUGAGUUUACGAACCUUCAGUUCAGGGUACGCCCUAGCUAUAUAUUUCGUCUGAAAUGAACAACCAAGGCGCCUUGCUUAUUUCCGAGUCAAUUAGACUCAAUUGCGUUGCUUUAUUAUGUGCUCGUUCUCUAAAAGUUCCUUUGAAGUGUGAUAUCGAUGCGUGUGCACCUGACCCCUUGAGAUUGAUGAAGGGGCAGCGUGACCAUUAGAAACUAUUUUUAAUACAAAUCUAAUAUUAUGCUUUAUACUAUAUAAAAUUUCAUAUGAUGGCUAAUUGUUAUAUAAAGAUAUAACAAAAUUUCAGUUUUGAAGUAUGUGCAUGUCUUGUACUCAUUUAGGACAGCGACACGGUCUUCAAAACACAACUUUGACCUUUUAUUUUUAUAAAAAUUUAGGAACAAACGAUAUAUAUAUACUUUUAUGAAAGUAUUUUUCAAGAUAAAUCUAUUCAUAUAAUUUUCACAUUUGCAAACUCAACAAUUUAAAAUUUAUUAAUGAUUUAUAUUCCCAAUGUUUGACUCAAACCUUGUCCAAAACGAUUUCUAAAUCCUAUACGGAGAGAAUAUUGUGGAACGGAGGAAAUACUCCACUAUUGAAUACUGAGCAUCUCCAAGGGUUUUGCAUUUGAGGUUUGUAUUUGAGUAAUUUGCCAAAAACUCCAAAAGAGGUAUCCAACAGUUGAAGCUUGUAAUUUGGGCAACUUGGCAAAUGAGGGAGCAAACUUGGCAAAAAUGCCAAGCUGUGGACGGCUUUGCAAACCCGAUCGCACGAGCGAAAGUCACACGCGAGGAAAGCGCACGCGCCUGGAGACCUCCUAUUUUUAUCCUUUGCCAAGUCCAAAUACCAAUUCCCUUGGAGAUGUUCUAUUUUUUAUCCUUUGCAUUUUGUUAUGGGAGUUUGCAAACAACAACAAAUGCCAAGUCAAUUUGCCAAAGCCUUUGGAGAUGGUUAUAUAAUAUGCAUACAGAAGGAGUAGAAAGAGUAAUAGGAAGACUAGCGGAUUGACAGCACAAAAGUAACUACCUUGUGAUCAAAUCUAACUAUACCUAGGUUCAAACAGGGGCGGAUCCAAUGUGAGUGUUGUGGGGGCUCUGGCCCCCUAACCCCAUUUGCUCAUGGAGCCUCCCUAACCUCUAACCCCUGCACCCCUAAUUUUGUAGCCAUGGAUGAAGAGGAGGAAAGAGAAAUGGGGAGAAAGAAGAUAAAGAGCUAGGAGAGGAAAGAAGAAGAAGGGAAGCCGAGCCCCCUUCCAUAAGUCCUUGCAUCCACCCCUAGGUUCAAGUUAUAGCUUUGGCAUAUGUGCUCAUGUUUAGAUAUAUGAUGCAACCAGGUACAUGAACAAAAUAGUCGAAUAAAGUGUUUGGUUUUAUUUUACUUAAUAGUGUGCCGAUCGAGUUGGGUGUUUCGUUCAACAUGCUUCAGUCGUUUCCUUUUUUCAGUUUGGGGUGGUUUUUGAUUUCCUUUCUUAUUUUAGGGUUUUGACUAAGCUGAGUUUGUAAUCCUCUCUUUUUCUCUUUCUUUGUUUAACAAAAUCACGGCAAAUCUUUUGCCACUCUUUCAGAAAAAAAAAUAGUGGUGCCCGUAGGUGUGCAGAAAGUUUGAGAACCCAAUAUAGUUUAUAUAAGUCUGCCCAUCUAGAAAUCUUGGUCGUUCCUGCAGUGUGGCUGCUUUACAGUCAAUGGUAAUAUUUGACCGGUCCAAGACUCAAAUACGAUCCAUCGACCUCACUGUGUCGGCCAUGAUUUGAUUGGUUAAUAAGACUCCGUUUGGUACAGUUCAGCUUCAGCAAUGAAGUUGGUUUUUAGAGAAAAAAAAGCUUUAUGGAUAACAUUCUAAGUAAAGCUGAGCUGUUUUGAAAAAGUUGUUUCAUAAAAUAGCUUCACCAGUAGCUUCAUACAUGAAUGAAAGAAAAAAUGAGAGAGAGAGAGAGCGCUAGGAUAAGCUCUUUUUUCAGUUUUAUCUCAACUUAUAUCUUCAUGAGAAGGAGAAGAAAAAAAGCUUCACCAAUAAAACUGUUUUGAAAAAGAGUGUUUGGCAAAAAAAAACAUAAAGUUGUUGUAAACUGCUGAAACAACAAAGAAAGAUCGUGGCUCCCUUUCGUCGUCAUAUGUUGACAGACACACUUCAUUUUUCGAGGUACCUUUGAGAGUUAGAGUAUCUGCAACAUUGAUGUAGAUGCACGUAUACGUAUGGACACACUACGUACGCACGUGCAAUCGUAUAUACGCAGUUACGCACGUGCGUGCAAGGAAGGAAGUUUCCUGGUCAUUCGGCAUUCCAUGAUUAGACAGGAGGAUCAACGCCUAUUUUUGGACUGACAGUUGGCUGUACAUUUGGUGGUUCAUCGAUCCAAUACCUUGUGCUAUGCUCAUUUAAUGCAGUGCCGAAAAGAUUUUAGGUAAAAAUAAUAUUCGCUAAUUUAUCAUGAAAAAAAAUAUUGUUAGCUUAGAGAAAAAAUACGAUUUAUAACACAAGCGAACAAGCUUGAAGACCCUAAGGGAUGGCUCAUGGCUGACCUAGUUAAGUAACAGGAGGCGUGGGUGAAGAUAUAUAAAUAUAUAUCUGGUCCAUAUAUAUCGUGUUCGAUAUGGAAACUACUGGGGGUAAGGUGGACAGGUCUGCCGAUGCUAUUCUUGAAGACUGUCAGAAUGCUGCGGCGUUGGAUACACUGUUCAAGCAGGAGAUGGAAGUGCAAGUGGAGGAUUUUGCAAGACAUUUGGAGAUUCACGCAAGCUCUCCACCUCAACUACAAUGGAAGACGGGCGUGGCGAUAUCAUCAUCAGAGUUGGUACCAUCGGUUGCUCAGCCUUUGGAUACAAAUGUGCAUUUAGCGUAGAACGAAGUUGUUCUUUGUGGGAGAUGUAAUGCUGCAAGUAGUUCUUUCGUGUCUCUGGAUGGCCAUAGGGCCUGAAUUUAUUGGCAAUAAGCCAAAACUAUGUUGUGAACCGAAUUUGCUUUUUGAGAUAUAAAAGCAGGGGAAACUUUAUGUAACAAUUUUCAAAAAAUAAAUAUAUAUCUGGUGCGAUCACCGUGCAAAAAGUCAUGCUUCAUUAUUUGGAGGGAUACUUGCCUACUCAGUGAACAGGGCGUCGAGACUAAUGGUAACUUGCUUUGUUGCUCGUGUGUUUUGGUGUGGUGGCGUGCUCUUCUUCAUCCUUUGGGGCUCCAACAGGUCACCACCGCCGACGAUGGUUUCGUUCUCCUUGCCUAAUAAAUCAUUUAGAAGGGGCUUUGUGUAGUUGUGUUUAUUGGUUCAUUGGAUGAGUUACCACUGAUGCCUUGAUGUCGACGCCACUGAUGCCUUGAUGUCGACGGAGAUAUCGUCUAUCACUAAAAAUAUAAUGUUGUUAAAUCCUAAAAUAAAUCCAUGAAAAAUACGAACACCCAUAGCAAGUCGAGAACUUAAACCCGGAUAGAAAUGUUCCAUCACAAAGAACUCAAGAUCUAUUGAAUGUUGCGGAAGGAGCGCACUUUCAACCGCCAAGGUAGCCCUGCCUUGUCAUUGUCAAGUGACCUGGUGCGGGUCAGGAUCCAGCAAUCAUGCUGAGCAAUAUAGUUCAAACUCCGGCGAGCUUAACUGCUGUCCCUGCGUCUUCAUUCAGACCCUUCCAUUUCUCUUUGGUCGUCUUGCGUGGUCGCAAAACGAUCAUCCAUUGAUGUGGGCAUGUGUAGCACUGUCCCGUUUGUUUUUGGUUAAGCUCAGACUUACCUAGACCCAAACUUGAUGAAAAUGUGCUUUUGUUUGUUGCAAAAAAAAAAAAGAGAACAGUAGUACAUUUUAGAGAUUAACUAUUUUGAUUGGAUUGAAGACUUCCUUGUUCCAGUGCAAGGCCCAAUUUUGUUUCCUUAGAGCUGCAUUUGCAGAGAAGUCCAGCAAUUAAUUGGGCCAAGAGAGGAGGCCGGCCUACUGGACCCUGCCGCGCAGAGCUGCAGCUGCUUAUUCAAAAUCAACUGGAUCACAGGAUGUACCAUCUUAUCUUAUGUUACUGAUUAUGAUUUUGAGGACACAACAGAGAUUCCUUGUUAUUUUUUACAGGACGUUCUAUGAAAAAUAUAUAUAAAUCCUAGAUCACAAUAAUCAGAAACAUUGGUAUCCUUGUGGCCACCAUCAUCACCUCCAUGAGUGCCAUCCUUGCUCAACUUUGGUGUGGACAAAUGGACAUAACCUAUCUCAAUCACAACACUUAGAGUAGAAGUUAGUCUAAUAGUUAUCUCAAUUACCAAAACCAAAUAUAUGGCUUUCAACUACACAAUGUCUAAUUGUAGUUACCAAAUAAACUCCAACUAUCUUCCCCUCUAUCUCCUCCAAACCUCUUUUUCCCCCUCUAUGUUGUCUUGGUAUCUAUGAUAUCCGUUUCAAUAGAUUUUAUUUAGUUGUUUAUGCAGACCAUAGUUUCUUGCAUCAAAGCUUGGCCCUAUUUGUUUCAUCUUUUAUCUAGCUUCCGCCAACAAAAAAGCCAGAAAUUGAAACAACCAACCCAAUUGUUGACCUAGCCUUUUAAAAGUACAAAGUAUUUAUAUUUUCUAAAACCAUUCAAAACUGAAAAUGAUCAUGUUGGAUUGCAUUUAUAUUUUCUAAAACCAUUCAAAACUGAAACUGAAACUGAAAACCAUUCUAAAACCAUGUUUUCAGCUUUUAAAUCAUUCAAAGCAUUUAUGUUGGAUUGCAUUUAUAUUUUUAGUUUAAUAUCAUUUUCAGCUUCUAAAGGAAUGAUCUAAAAGAUGAAAAUCUUGUUUUGAAUGGUUUGAGAAACAACAAUAUGAAUACAAUAAUGCACUGAAGGAGUCAUUUUCUACACAUCUAUUUAGUGGUUUCUGGUGUCAUGGUAGUUAUAGAUAGCCAUGCAGCCUGCGCCCCGAUAGCCCGGCCCAAAGCACUUUUUUUUUGCCUGACUCAAAGCUACUCGGCCCAAGCAUAGCAUGGCCUGGUGUAAUAUGGGUCUAAGCCGCUCUUAAUGCAGUUGGGUAGCACAACACGGGCUGCUAAAAUACUCUAAGACCGACGUGGCCCGCUAAAAUACUUCUCCCCUCCUCGAUUCCUGCUAGGCGCGGGUUCUCUUCUUCCCCGGCCCCAACCGUGAGACCAGGGUCGCAUCUUGGCCUUGAUUAGCGUCAUCUCCUCUCCUUCUUCAUCCCACCAGGCACCGACUCCUCUAUGCUCUUUCCCAGUUCUAUCGGUCGCCGCACCACCACCUGGUAAACGGGCCUAAAAGGCUAACAUAACCUGCAGAGUAGGUUGUGCUUAUCGGGUUGGCAGCUUGGCAAGCCCCCCCUAAAAAUAGCCCACAAUGUCAUGCUUGGGCUGUUGCUUAGGCCCGUGGCCCUAUUGCCUGGCCUUCCUCCAGCGCCAUGCAUUGGCCGAGUACAUGGUGUGCGGAAAAAAGUGGGUAUGGGACUCGCGUAAGCGGUACCGUACGUGGUUAUUCAAUGAACCCACGACAUGUAAGGGGGUGUUUGGUUUGGGGGUUAAAGUUUAACAGAUAGGUUAGCAUUUUCGUCUUAUUUGGUAAUUAGUGUCUAAUCAUGGACUAAUUAGCCUUAAAAAAUUUGUCUCGCAAAUUACUCUCUAGCUAUGUUUUUAGUUUUAUAAAUAGUCUAUAUUUAGUACUUUAUACAUGUGUAUAAAUAUUUGAUGCUUGACUAACAAAACAGAGCCUAAAUCUUCAGUUGCGAGACUGCCGAGCUAAUUUUUCCAAGACUGCCACACGUCGUCAUCUGUGUGUGCAGCGCCCAGUGCCGCGUAUGGGAAUCCCGUACAUAUUUUUUCCCUGUCGUGCCAUACUGGGUGCCCGAAUGGGCCAUCUAUAAUAUAACCAUGUAAUACACUGUGGGUUAAUUAGCUUUAGGUCACACUUUAAUUUGUGGAGGUACCUAACCAACUACGGUACGGUUAGAUUGACACUGCACGCUGCGAGUAGGUAGCCUCGCUUGCAUGCCUAACAUCAAUAUAAUGCUUGAUCCACGUAUAUCUUGUAUCUGAAAACAGCUGACACGUCUCCAUGAACUGUGAGCCCUUAGACCUGCAUGCAAAUUUACCUAGCUGUGAAACGCGUGUCACCAACAGGAUAUGGACCGCAGGACAAUGCGUGCCUCCAAUUUUACAUGACAGCGACGUAACACAAACGUAAUUACUCGUUUUUUAAGAGCCAGGUGUCCGAUCCUUUGCCUUCCGCCUCUGAUCUUUUGAUCCAAUCCAACAAGUAGACAAUACUAUUUUAUAUAUUGGCUGCUGCCUGCUGGUGGACGCGGAAAUGCGCAGGAGCCAGCGCGUACCCCAGCGCGUACCUAGUAAAUAAUAAUAUACAACCACAAUGGUAUAUUUUAGGUAUGACAUUGCAAACCACACACAGUAAGUGACCGGGUGGUAAUGGUAAAAAAAAAAACACGUACACGCGUCCAACGACAGUUUGGCCGGCCUGGCUAUAAAUUUCCUUGCCCUUGCCAGCCAUUUGUGCUCACACACAGAUCCAGCAGCAUGCAGUGAAACACAUUAUAAUCAUAUACUCCAUAGCUACAAACCUACAAGGAGGACUCGAUCGAUCAUCGUUCGACAGAGUGAGCUAGCUAGCUAGCAUACUGCUAUAGCUAGCUAGGAUGAGGAUGCGGUGCACACUGGCGGUAUGGCUGUAUCUUGUCGUCAUGGCUGCGGCGGCGGCCGCCGGCGACGACAAGCCAGAGCCGAGGCCAGUGAUCACUCCAAAGCCAAAGCCAAAGCCAAAGCCACAGCCACAGCCACAGCCUGACCAGCCGAAACCAACGCCUGAUCAGCCCUACAAACCCAAACCACAGCCAGAGCCAGGGCACCCGAAGCCCACACCUCAGCCCAACCCAACUCCAGAACCCACUAAACCAAAGCCCAUGCCGCAGCCCGAGCCGAAACCGAAGCCACAACCGCAGCCCAAGCCGGAGCCUCAGCCGGGCCCGGGCAAACCCAAGCCGAAGCCCCCAGCAUACUCGCCGGGCACGCCCGGUCCUUGAUGGUGGGUGUUGUAUAUAUAAAAAAGCAAGCUGAAAGAGCUUAUAGUAUAAAUAAGCGGCUGGUGGCAUGCUGGUUUAUUUCUAGCCUGUCCGCUUGUCUGAAAAGGUCGGCUUUGCUCGGCUAACUGCUGCGGUUUGUGUUAUGUGUUUGUUGUUAACUAUGCACACGUGCGCGUGCUCGUGCGUUGCGUGCGUCAUGACACUACUGCAUGCGCACGUAGUGUAUCAGUGCAUGUCAUGUUCCAUCACACUACUGUGUAGUACGUGUGAAGAGUGUAUGUGUGAGUUGUUUGCUUCUUGUGCCUCUACUUAUAUACUAUCUAAAGGCCACUGCUUGUUGUACGUGUUGUGCGGUCGGAUUACCUCUGUAUCCAUGAAUAAAAAGAGAGUACGUGUGCAUGUAUGAUUAUUGUGCGUGUUGGCUUAAUGACGAUCAUGGUGUUUGGUUUGGAGAGUGGUCGUCACAUCCAGAAUCGAUCGUUUGGUUUAAUGACUAUAGGGUAUACCCGGUAUGCACUGGCAUACCUGCAGUUCAGCCAAAUACAAUACAUGUAUACAUCCAAUGAUCUCUUAAAAUAUA